CUGGACUGUCACACACGGCACAAGCCGUCACCACAACCUGCAUUGGGGGCAAACUGCCCAAAACAAGAAUCAAAGAUGGCUGUUGUCAUAUCGCCCAUUCAGUGGAGCAUGCUUCUGGCCCACAAGCCACACUAUGACUCAUUGGAGUCUAUCCUGCGGAGACUGGAUGUACUAUUCCAGGACUUCUGGCUGAAGCUCCAGAAUCGUGCACAAACUACCCAAUCUGGACAAUUGGAGGUAUCGCAGGCAGGAGCGCUGCUGAGACGGAGAGGGACCCCUCCAGGCCUUCAUGCCGCACAAGCACCUCUGCACUCUACAGUCCGCCUACCUAGGCAGAGAGCCCGCCGAGGCAUAGCAUCCAUAAUCUAUCACCCAAGAGGAUCGCCUGCCAUAAAAGGCGCCAACCACCUCGACCUUCUGCGCACCCCAGACAGAGGAAGGAGCUGAUCCCAAGGGGCUCCCAAAUGCGUGCACUAAAACUAAGGGCCGUCACACAGUCCUGGGACUGGAGGCAAGUCCUGAUCUGCCACGUGCCGGCUGGGCUCUCUAUCUUAAUGCCACAUCUACCGUAUCUUCCUGCUGGUUCCAGCUGCCUCCCAGCAAUGCGCAUAGGAUGAUGGUGACUUUUGCCUGGAACUAUUAUCGCUGCUGAUACCCUAUCUGCUCUAUUAGUACUCAUACAGUGGUGCAGCAACAUAGAAAAGUGCUUAGUUUCAGUGGAUCUAAUCUUUGACACAUAAGCUAGCAAGUUUAUUCAGUUACAAUUGUUUUCUCAUCACUCUGAGCCCCUUUCAAGGUUUAUCCAGAACAAACUCAUUCUGCAUCUGCAUUGUACUCUUGCUUUCGGAUUCCGCAUGUUUUCUCUUUUAAAAAUAAUUUUGCUAAUU
Pelobates cultripes (western spadefoot toad) is the source of this 887-nucleotide non-coding RNA. The record is from the annotation of a GenBank genome assembly. Lineage: Eukaryota; Metazoa; Chordata; Amphibia; Anura; Pelobatidae.